UACGGAGGGUGCAAGCGUUAAUCGGAAUUACUGGGCGUAAAGCGCACGUAGGUGGUUCGAUAAGUCGGAUGUGUAAGCCCCGGGCUUAACUUGGGAAUGGCAUUCGAUACUGUCGAGCUAGAGUAUGGUAGAGGAAAGCGGAAUUCCACAUGUAGCGGUGAAAUGCGUAGAUAUGUGGAGGAACAUCAGUGGCGAAGGCGGCUUUCUGGACUAAUACUGACACUGAGGUGCGAAAGCGUGGGGAGCAAACAGG
Molecule: ribosomal RNA, 253 nt
Filed under: uncultured bacterium
Lineage: Bacteria
Description: partial 16S ribosomal RNA
Rfam family: Bacterial small subunit ribosomal RNA
Source: RNAcentral